UUGACCUCAAAUCAGGUAGGACUACCCGCUGAACUUAAGCAUAUCAAUAAGCGGAGGAAAAGAAACUAACAAGGAUUCCCCUAGUAACUGCGAGUGAAGCGGGAAAAGCUCAAAUUUAAAAUCUGGCGGUCUUGCGGCCGUUCGAGUUGUAAUCUGGAGAAGCGUCUAUCCGCGUCGGACCGUGUACAAGUCUUCUGGAAGGGAGCGUCAUAGAGGGUGAGAAUCCCGUCUUUGACACGGACUACCGAUGCUUUUGUGAUGCGCUCUCGAAGAGUCGAGUUGUUUGGGAAUGCAGCUCAAAAUGGGUGGUAAAUUCCAUCUAAAGCUAAAUAUUGGCGAGAGACCGAUAGCGAACAAGUACCGUGAGGGAAAGAUGAAAAGCACUUUGGAAAGAGAGUUAAACAGUACGUGAAAUUGUUGAAAGGGAAACGUUUGAAGUCAGUCGCGUCGGCCGAGACUCAGCCUUGCUUUCCGCUCGGUGCACUUCUCGGUUGACGGGUCAGCAUCAAUUUUGACCGCCGGAUAAAGGUCGGGGGAACGUGGCAUCUCUCGGGAUGUGUUAUAGCCCUCGAUUCGCAUACGGCGAUUGGGAUUGAGGAACUCAGCGCGCCUUUAUGGUCGGGGUAUCAACCCACGUAACGCGCUCAGGAUGCUGGCAUAAUGGCUUUAAGCGACCCGUCUUGAAACACGGACC
Molecule: ribosomal RNA, 694 nt
Filed under: uncultured fungus
Lineage: Eukaryota; Fungi
Description: eukaryotic LSU rRNA
Rfam family: Eukaryotic large subunit ribosomal RNA
Source: RNAcentral